CCCUACGGGACGCAGCAGUGAGGAAUAUUGGUCAAUGGGCGGGAGCCUGAACCAGCCAAGUCGCGUGAGGGACGACGGUCCAAUGGAUUGUAAACCUCUUUUGUCGGGGAACAAAGGCGCCCACGGGUGGCCGGAUGAGUGUACCUGAAGAAAAAGCAUCGGCUAACUCCGUGCCAGCAGCCGCGGUAAUACGGAGGAUGCGAGCGUUAUCCGGAUUUAUUGGGUUUAAAGGGUGCGUAGGCGGACAGUCAAGUCAGCGGUAAAAAUGCGGGGCUCAACGCCGGCCAGCCGUUGAAACUGGCAGU
This 305-nucleotide ribosomal RNA is filed under the name uncultured bacterium. RNAcentral's name for it is "bacterial SSU rRNA". It matches the Rfam family "Bacterial small subunit ribosomal RNA", at positions 337 to 640 of the family's 1533-position model. The record is from RNAcentral.